RNAcentral lists this unclassified non-coding RNA (890 nucleotides) under Hevea brasiliensis (rubber tree). Lineage: Eukaryota; Viridiplantae; Streptophyta; Magnoliopsida; Malpighiales; Euphorbiaceae. The record is from RNAcentral.
GAGUGGGUAGAUGGGGCACUACUAAUUUUGUAGCUCUCUCUCUCUCUUUUUACCUCUCGCCCUCACCUCCUUCUCUGUCUCUGUUUCUUCUUUUUCCCCUACGUUUGUGGCGGAUAAACCGGUGACUCGGUUUCUGAAUCCAAAUCCCAAAGAAACAAAGAAAGCUUCUAAGAGGGAAAAAUAGCUCCUUUUUCUUCCAGGUGUAUAUGCAAAAUAUAUGGAGUUUUAUUAUUACUUUCUCUCUUUCUUUCCCUGUCCUCUGCUUACCCAGAAAACACUUUUCCUUUUCUCUUGCUUCUCAUUCUUGCAGAGUUUUAGCUUAAUCUAACCAUCACCUCAUACCCUUUGUAAUAUACAUGCAAAUGAUAUUUCUAAGCAGUUUUCUUGUGUGCGUUUAGCGUCAUGGAUCUGUAAAGCUAAUCAGCAUAUCUUUUAUUUGUGAUUUGAUUUUAGUUUAUUUCUUGAUUUUCUUGUUCAGAUCGAUUAUUUUGAGUCAUUUCUUUCAUUUUAUCCAGAUUUUGGUUCGAGCUUUGUUGUUAUUGGAAAUUUUUAAAUUUUUUUGGGUCUUCAUUUCUUCAUUUGGUUUGCUGAUGUCGAAUGCUUAAUUAAGCUUUGUUCUUUUUUCUCAUUUUUGGUAAUUUAGUGCCCCUAUCUCUUAUCUGAUCUCUAUCUGUUGCUUGUACUCUGUCUACCUACUUCUAUCAUUGUCAUUUUUCUUUUUCUUUUCUUUUGAUAAUCAAAAGAUAUUCUUAUUGCCUGAAAGUAAUCUUGCGUGCAUCUCAGAUCUUUUGCUUUUUUAUUUUGUUUUUGGAUUUUUAAAUUCUGCACAUUUUCGUUCAAUUUCUCUUGUAGGAUUGACGCUUUCUGAUGAUAUCCAUAAAUGAGAUUCA